GAUGAAGAACGCAGCGAGAUGCGAUAAGUAAUGUGAAUUGCAGAAUUCAGUGAAUCAUCGAAUCUUUGAACGCACAUUGCGCCCAUUAGUAUUCUAGUGGGCAUGCCUGUUCGAGCGUCAUUAAGUCCACUUAAGCCCUGCUUAGUGUUGGGAGACUGCUCCAGCGGUGCUACCCUGUAGCUACCCUGCAGCUCCUCAAAGACAGCGGCGGAGUUGUGGUAUCCUCUGAGCUUAGUAACUUGUUCUAGCUUUCGAGUACACCACUUCCCCUGCCGUAAAACCCUUAAUUUUUAAUGGUUGACCUCGGAUCAGGUAGGAAUACCCGCUGAACUUAAGCAUAUCAAUAAGCGGAGGA
Molecule: unclassified non-coding RNA, 355 nt
Filed under: soil metagenome
Description: partial contains 5.8S ribosomal RNA, internal transcribed spacer 2, and large subunit ribosomal RNA
Rfam family: 5.8S ribosomal RNA (bases 1-120)
Source: RNAcentral